AAGUGGAGCAAUCCAUGAGUAAAGUGGCGACCGGGUGAGUAACACGUGACUAACCUACCUUCGAGUGGGGGAUAACAUCGGGAAACCGAUGCUAAUACCGCAUAAUAUCGCAAGAUCAAAGCAGCGAUGCGCUGGAAGAGGGGGUCGCGGCUGAUUAGCUAGUUGGCGGGGUAACGGCCCACCAAGGCGAAGAUCGGUAGCCGGCCUGAGAGGGCGCACGGCCACACUGGAACUGAAACACGGUCCAGACUCCUACGGGAGGCAGCAGUGGGGAAUUUUGCGCAAUGGGGGAAACCCUGACGCAGCAACGCCGCGUGGAGGAUGAAGCCCCUUGGG
RNAcentral lists this ribosomal RNA (336 nucleotides) under uncultured bacterium. RNAcentral's name for it is "bacterial SSU rRNA". It matches the Rfam family "Bacterial small subunit ribosomal RNA", at positions 72 to 422 of the family's 1533-position model. The record is from RNAcentral.